AGGCUGAGGAGGAAGGAAGGGAAGUUGGCAGUGGAGAGGGAUGUUGAUGUGAGGGAAUUCGCUGCGCCGCCGGUUAUGGAGUUCGAGCAGGAUCCGGUUCAAAUUCUUGAUGCUAUGUUCAAAUUCUAACCAAAUGUAUGAGUUCAAAUUUGGCGAGUCUCAACAUUUUAAACUAUACUAAGUUCGGCAGAUAAUAAAGGUUUAGGAUCAAGGGUCUACAUGAAUUCAAAAUUUUUUCUUGGUCUAGAAAUUGCUAGAAGUCAACAGGGUAUUGCAGUGUAUCAACGCAAGUAUACUUUGGACUUGCAAGAUGAGUUUGGGUUGAUGAAUGCCAAAGCAGCCACCACCCCAAUGGUCUGACAUCUGAUAAUCUUCACCAUUGGAGGGUGCUUGUCCUGAUACUCGCCAUUCUGUAUCUGUAUUCAAUUUCUUUCUUGGGAGAUCAUUGAUAUUUUGGCGCAGCAAGAAGUGGCACACAGUAGCACAUUCCGUAGCUGAAGUUGAGUACAAAGCAAUGACACUUGUCACUUGUGAGUUGUGACAACCAAUUGGCUCUUCACAUUGCACCUAAUCUAGUUUUUCAUGAGAGUACUAAAUAUAUAGAGAUAGAUGGAUUGCCACAUUGUCCAAGAUAAAGUCUAAGGAGUAGUAGUAAGCUUCUCCUAUUAUAUUCGGCUCACCAAGUCACUACCACUAAUCCAUUCAUAUCAUGUAAAAGCAACCUAGAGCUGAUCAAUUUUCAUGCAUUCCAGCUUGAGAGGAAUGUAGUUGAAGAUGUAAAUUAGUAGUGAGGAUAUUGUAUUAGCAGUAAGUUAAA
Long non-coding RNA from Arachis duranensis, 817 nucleotides. RefSeq lists it as uncharacterized. The record is from RefSeq and is a predicted model, not a curated record. The transcript has 3 exons. Lineage: Eukaryota; Viridiplantae; Streptophyta; Magnoliopsida; Fabales; Fabaceae.